Molecule: long non-coding RNA, 692 nt
Filed under: Gopherus agassizii (Agassiz's desert tortoise)
Lineage: Eukaryota; Metazoa; Chordata; Testudines; Testudinidae
Description: lncRNA (ENSGAGG00000011284.1)
Source: RNAcentral
CCUCUGCAAGGUUUUCAGUUCAGCUGCAGUGUGCCUCACACCAGAGAACUGCCUAGCGCCCAGUCCAGCCCUCUGCAAGCACGUGGGCUUAGCCCUGAGCGGUGCCGGUGUGAGCAGACACCCGGGCUCCCGAGGGAAGCGCUGGCCACACGCAGGACCUGCUGCAGACAUCAGGCUUGCAACAGCCUGUGGACGCUGCUGCUACUUUCUCGCCUGCAACCUCUGGGGACGAGCAAGGAGCAGGGAGGAGCAGCCAGCGAGCCGCGCAGCCGGGGGAAGGAGCAGACGCCCCGGGAAGCCUGGCGUGCUGUCUGUUACAGAUACAGAAAUCUAGAUGGGAUUUCAAAGAUAAGAGAUGGACAGAGUGUCUUGUCAGGGCUUGAAAAAUACAUUCGUCUGGUGACUAAGUGACAAAUCAACGAGGUUUUCUCAGGUUUUGGAAGUAACAGAGUACUUGGUCACUAAAUCCUCACCUGAAGGACGGUUGUAUGCUUAAACUUGGAAGGCUCUACGUUGGGGUUCUUCAGCUCUCUUAAUUCCCAGGUUUUCUUUCCCAGAAGAAAUGGACCUUGUGUGUGAGAAGCGUCCAAGUCAAUAAUGCGACGACGAUAACAUUGAAAGUCUGCUGGAGAAGAAUCGCUAAUUCUUAUAAGUGGUUUUUGGUUUUUUUUCAUCCCUUAUAAAACAAACCA